RNAcentral lists this unclassified non-coding RNA (253 nucleotides) under Patescibacteria group bacterium. RNAcentral's name for it is "contains 16S-23S intergenic spacer region". It matches the Rfam family "Bacterial small subunit ribosomal RNA", at positions 524 to 776 of the family's 1533-position model. The record is from RNAcentral.
UACGAAGGCCCCAAGCGUUGUCCGGAUUUACUGGGUGUAAAGGGUCCGUAGGUGGUUUUGUAAGUCAUAUGUCAAAUCUUCAGGCUCAACCUGGAGGCUGCGUGUGAUACUGCAAGACUAGAGGCUGGGAGAGGUACAUGGAAUUGCCGGUGUAGCGGUAAAAUGCGUUAAUAUCGGCAAGAACACCAAAGGCGAAGGCAAUGUACUGGAACAGUCCUGACACUGAGGGACGAAAGCGUGGGUAGCGAAUGGG